This 504-nucleotide ribosomal RNA is filed under the name uncultured bacterium. RNAcentral describes it as "bacterial SSU rRNA". It matches the Rfam family "Bacterial small subunit ribosomal RNA", at positions 107 to 607 of the family's 1533-position model. The record is from RNAcentral.
UGAGUAAUGUCUGGGAAACUGCCCGAUAGAGGGGGAUAACUACUGGAAACGGUAGCUAAUACCGCAUAACCUCGUAAGAGCAAAGUGGGGGACCUUCGGGCCUCACGCUAUCGGAUGUGCCCAGAUGGGAUUAGCUAGUAGGUGGGGUAAUGGCUCACCUAGGCGACGAUCCCUAGCUGGUCUGAGAGGAUGACCAGCCACACUGGAACUGAGACACGGUCCAGACUCCUACGGGAGGCAGCAGUGGGGAAUAUUGCACAAUGGGCGCAAGCCUGAUGCAGCCAUGCCGCGUGUAUGAAGAAGGCCUUCGGGUUGUAAAGUACUUUCAGCGGGGAGGAAGGCGCUGUGGUUAAUAACCACGGCGAUUGACGUUACCCGCAGAAGAAGCACCGGCUAACUCCGUGCCAGCAGCCGCGGUAAUACGGAGGGUGCAAGCGUUAAUCGGAAUUACUGGGCGUAAAGCGCACGCAGGCGGUCUGUCAAGUCAGAUGUGAAAUCCCCGGG